This 73-nucleotide transfer RNA is filed under the name Candidatus Woesearchaeota archaeon. Its description in RNAcentral is "tRNA-Thr". It matches the Rfam family "tRNA". From Rfam's summary of the family: Transfer RNA (tRNA) molecules are approximately 80 nucleotides in length. The record is from RNAcentral. Lineage: Archaea; Nanobdellati; Candidatus Woesearchaeota.
GCCUCUAUAGCUCAGCUGGUAGAGCGUUACCCUCGUAAGGUAAAGGUCGCAGGUUCAAUUCCUGCUAGGGGCU